Molecule: transfer RNA, 74 nt
Filed under: Nebrioporus vagrans
Lineage: Eukaryota; Metazoa; Arthropoda; Insecta; Coleoptera; Dytiscidae
Description: tRNA-Asp
Source: RNAcentral
AAAGAAUUAGUUAAUCUAUAACAUUAGUAUGUCAAACUAAAAUUAUUAAAAUUUAAUAAAUUUAAUAUUCUUUA